Molecule: ribosomal RNA, 330 nt
Filed under: uncultured bacterium
Lineage: Bacteria
Description: bacterial SSU rRNA
Rfam family: Bacterial small subunit ribosomal RNA
Source: RNAcentral
UGUGUAGGCGGUUCUUUAAGUUUGGUGUGAAAUCUCCCGGCUCAACUGGGAGGGAGCGCCGAAUACUGAGGGACUAGAGUACGGGAGAGGAAAGUAGAAUUCCUGGUGUAGCGGUGAAAUGCGUAGAUAUCAGGAGGAACACCGGUGGUGUAGACGGCUUUCUGGACCGACACUGACGCUGAGACACGAAAGCGUGGGUAGCAAACAGGAUUAGAUACCCUGGUAGUCCACGCCCUAAACGAUGCAUAUUUGGUGUGGGCAGUUCAUUCUGUCCGUGCCGGAGCUAACGCGUUAAAUAUGCCGCCUGGGGAGUACAGUCGCAAGGCUGAA